Molecule: unclassified non-coding RNA, 706 nt
Filed under: Hevea brasiliensis (rubber tree)
Lineage: Eukaryota; Viridiplantae; Streptophyta; Magnoliopsida; Malpighiales; Euphorbiaceae
Source: RNAcentral
GGAUUUGAAGCCUGGACCCGGCUCGGAACGCUCCUUUGGACUUUUCAAGCCUGAUCUUUCCACGACUUAUGAUGCUGGCCUCUCGAAAAAUUCCCAGGCUCCUACAGCUCCAGUGACCCCUGCUCCAGUAACACCGACAACUCCAAUAACUCCGGUUACACCAGCACCAAAGCCAACAGGAUCAGCUACAUGGUGCUUGCCAAAGCCAGGAAUUCCUGAUUCUGAAUUACAGUCAAACCUCGACUACGCCUGUAGUAUGGGUAUUGACUGUAGCCCUAUUCAAGAAGGCGGUCCAUGCUUUGAACCAAAUACUGUUGCAUCGCAUGCUGCUUAUGCUAUGAAUGUUCUUUAUCAAACUGCUGGAAGGAAUCCCUGGAACUGCGAUUUCUCUCAGACCGCUUCCCUCACCUCAACAAAUCCUAGUUACAAUGGCUGUACUUAUCCUGGUGGCAACUUAUAACGCAAAGCAUCUAAAUAUAUUUUAUUAUGAUGGAGUAGUUUAUGUAACUAAAAAAAUUGGUCGAUAAAUAAUCCCAUCUACCCCCUUUUUCCUUUUGCUAAAAUGAUCAGGAUUGUCUUCGAAGAAGAACUAUAUAAAUUUGAAGUGUAUAGUUCCUUAAUACUAUUAUUUUCUUUCCAAACAACAUAUCCCGAGUAAUGCCGUUGGAUUAAAGAUGGGGUAUUGGCAGACCAUUGGAAACAUCCG